CCAAAUAGGCAUAACAUACGCCAAACACACUUUUGUUGCACUUCUCACACAACCCAGCACAUGCCUGACACCUCCUUUGCCACGUGUCUUUGCCCUAUUUGUUGGUCAAAUUCAUUUAAUUUCCAAUUAUCGAAAACUUUCAAUUUUAUCCUCACUUAUUUCACCUAACAUACCAUUAGUGCCCCCCCCCCCCCCAAAAAAAAAAAAAAAAACCUAAAACCUAGCCUAAGUUUCUCUACUCUCAAUGAACCACCUCUUUGAACAUGCCUCAACGUUUUCUUCUCCUCUUCAAGCAAAAAUACAGACCCCUUUCACCAUGGGCAGGAUUUGCUACUCCAUUUUUGUGAUGAAUCCUUUCCGUCACAUGAAGAUCGAGUGGAGACAAAUUUCAACAUUUGAAUGUUGAACGUUCAAAAUUUGAGGAACCCAAUUCCCGCUCAAAGGAUGAAUUCCAACAAAUCUGCUAUAAAUACUCAUGCUUGGAAGCUUAGAAAAAAAAGAAAAAGGGAGGAAAGGAAGAAAAAAAAAAAGGAGGACGGACGACCUAGCAUUGUUUGUAGUUUUUUCUCGGCCAUUCAUUCUUUAAGCCGUGAGCAAGCCAUUUCCGCUGCUCUCAGUUGCUGAAACAUCACCCAAAAGUUACUGUGUGUUCAUUCAUUACAUUGCUCUUUUCAUUCUCUUUCACUUAUGGUAUCACCCGAGGCUUUUUCACCCGUUCCAUGGCACGAUAGUUACUAGUCUGCCGUUUUUAAAGUCUCCCCAUUUCAUUUUAUUUCGAUCUCGGGUUUAAAGAGUGUUCAAGCUUCAUCGUUUGGGUUCGGGUAUAGAUCGUAGGCUCGAAAACUCCCCGUUCACUGCCCCACAAAUUAGCAAACAACCUUGGAGUCUUAAGGCUAGACUCUCGUAUCCGCCUGGAGUCUCAAAACAAGACCAACAGUAUAUUUCAUCCGAGAAAGGAGUUAACACCAUAAUCUUAAGUCAAACCCGCCAACAGUCUAGUGCCCUUUCCUCUCCCAAGUUUCAUUUUUUAUUUGUAUACACCUAUUAUUAUUUUGCGUCGACACUUUUUUACACAUUAAUGUUGGAAUUUAUAUCCUGUUUAUGUAUGUUUGGACUAGUACAAGUUUUAUUAUUAUGGUAGAAAAUUUGGCCGUU
Long non-coding RNA from Capsicum annuum, 1155 nucleotides. RefSeq lists it as uncharacterized. The record is from RefSeq and is a predicted model, not a curated record. NCBI's taxonomy places the organism in Eukaryota, Viridiplantae, Streptophyta, Magnoliopsida, Solanales, Solanaceae. The transcript is spliced from 2 exons.